UAUAAUUCAGUGGUAGAGCACUUGCUUGCCAUGCAUGAAGCCCUGGGUUUGAUACCCAGUA
This 61-nucleotide transfer RNA is filed under the name Cavia porcellus (domestic guinea pig). It matches the Rfam family "tRNA", at positions 6 to 65 of the family's 71-position model. Rfam says of the family: Transfer RNA (tRNA) molecules are approximately 80 nucleotides in length. Lineage: Eukaryota; Metazoa; Chordata; Mammalia; Rodentia; Caviidae. The record is from Rfam by way of RNAcentral.